RNAcentral lists this long non-coding RNA (4233 nucleotides) under Homo sapiens (human). Its description in RNAcentral is "non-protein coding PTOV1-AS1:9". Lineage: Eukaryota; Metazoa; Chordata; Mammalia; Primates; Hominidae. The record is from RNAcentral.
GGAGUGUGGGCUCGGCGGUCCUGCGGGCCUCUCCGGCGCGGGGGAGUCCUGGGAAGACGCGCGAGCCACAACUUCAGGGGGCGUGGCGGGAACGGGAGCCCCUACCGAAUGGGGUGGCAGAAGAACGAAGGCGACACCAAGCUGGCCCCUUGCGGGGGUCGGGACGGCGGGAGACCUCAUCCGGAGCCCUGGGCCCGCAGAGCCAGGAGACCGCGCCAAAAUACAUCAGGGAAGAGGGGAGGACGGAAUAAUGGGCCUGGGGACAAAGGAACCCACUGAAAGGGAACCCACUGAGGGUACGGAUUGCACCCGAGCCUGAGACAGCUGAAGGUUUGCAGUCGGUGACGUGGCGAGGUGGGCAAGGGACUCCAACUCCCAGCGGGCCCCGCGCGGCCUGGGCGGGGCCAGCUGUCCCUGGAGGCUCCGCCCAUUAGCCCCGGCGCCCAGGCUCCGCCCGCCGUCCCUGGCGACUCCAAGCUUCUCGCCACUCACGUCGCUCCCCGGCCUUCCGUGGAUUCGCUCAUUCGCUCUGCUAAAAUGGAAUGACUACUUACUAGUAGUUGUAUAAGAUUUUUCCCUCGAUUUUUGUUCCUUAAACGUGGGUAAUACCUAACCCUAGAGUGGUUAUGGGGAUCGAGCCCGAGGGGCUGUGCUUGACUGCUUGGCGCAGUCACUACUCAAAUGUUAGCUUUUCUUUAAAAACAACAACAAAAAUCUGUUAUGAGUACCCUGUCCAGUUCUGUGCUCGGCGACGACCGAAUCAGACCACGUCCCUCACAGGCCCCACGGUCCACUGGGGAGAGACAUAAUCACAGGCUGUGCUAAGUGUUAACUAGCGCACAUCCACAGGGCGAUGGGAUAUGACCAUAGCGAGGUAAAGUUAGCAAGCAAGGGAAGUCAAGAAAACGACCUGUGAGCAACCUGCCAUUCCAGAUGGCUGGAAAAGUGUGCAAAGAGGACAGAACAGCAAAGACAAAUCCUGAAAGUAGAAGGAAUAAAAGGGAGCCAGUGUGGGCGGAGUCGAGUGAAGGUAGAGAGGAGAAAUAGACACAGCUGUAGGAGGUUAGAGACGGAGUCCCUACUUCUGUUUCGGAUGUUGACUAAACAAUGUAGAUAGAUAUUGAUGUCAUAGCCUGGAGAGAGAAAUUCGGGAGUCAUCAGUGUUUGAAUGGAGACUGGAUGAGCUCACAAAGAGACUGGGACACUCAUCCCUUUAGCAGUCACGACAAUGAGAAGCAACCAGCAAAGGACACGGAGGAGUGGCCAGUGAAAUGGCAGAAGAACCCGUAGGCCUGUCCAUGUUUUCCUGCCCAGGGGCUCCCGAGGGCUGACUGGAGCCCAGCCUUAAACCCCAAAUCCAACCUGCAUUGUGGCCAAACGGAGUCAGUGCUCCCUGAACACAAACUGCAAGUUAGUUAUCAACAGGUACCUCCAAUGCCCUGUCAAUCACCCAUGUGAGGACAACCUGGCAGCAGGAAGGAGAAAAAACAGGAGCUGCUUUAAUCUCCCGGAAUCCUCACUUCUCCCCAUUCUUGUUGGUCCAAACCAUCAAGAUCUCUUGCCUGGGUGACGUCUCCUAACUCUUGCUGCCUUCUCUGUCACUACAAUAAUCAAAACCAUCCAAUGGCUUCCCAGUGCCUUUAGAAUUAAAUCCAAACUUGGUACUGUGGCCCCUGCUGCCGCCCCCCAAAAAAUCUCUCUCCCAUCCUUCCUGUUCUCUACCUGUUAAUGCCUUCCCAUCCCUCAGAACCCAUCAGGACACACGUGAGUUUGAAUGCCCUGAAUUGUAUAAGCAUGGAGAGCGGUAUACCAGGGUGUACUCCAGAGUGAGCAAAAUGGGAACUCAUGUCAGAAAGUGAAAUGAAAAUGUAGGCUGAAAUUCUAUCAGUAAUACUGCAACAAAACUCUCUGAAACCAUCUCACUUAACUCGGUCCACCAACUUGAAAGACACUUUCCUUUUCAUCUGUGAAGCCCACUGCUGGGGCUAGCAGGCUACUAUUAUGACUAAGCAAUUCCACUUCCAUCUCUCAAGCUGUUUACUUCCUGAAAGGUAGCUGUUUGAUCCAAACCUGUUUAUGCCAGAAGUUCUUGUUUAAUUUACUAUCAAACUAAUGAAAUUAAUGCAAGACAGUUGUUUAUACACAAACCAGAUUGCUUGCUUUGGAAAGACUAAAAGGGAGUUGUUAAAAGAAAAACAUGCCAGGCGUGGUGGCUCACACCUGUAAUUCUGCACUUUGGGAAGCCGAGGUGGGCAGAUCACUUCAGGUCAGGAGUUCAAGACCAGUCUGGCCAACAUGGUGAAACACCGUCUCCACUAAAAAUACAAAAGUUAACCGGGCAUGGUGGUGUAUGCCUGUAGUCCCAGCUACUCUGGAGGCUAAGGCAGGAGAAUCGAUUGAACCCAGGGGGUGGAGGUUGCAGUGAGCUGAGAUCUCACCACUGCAACUCCAGCCUGAGCAACAAAGCAAGACUCCAUCUCUUAAAAAAAAAAAAAUGCUGCCAAGUUAGGUACAAGUAAAGCAACUGUAAAUUAUUUAAUGAAAAAGCUUAUAAAAACCUAGGAAGACUCAGCCCCCAGUUUGUUUCAUAAAUGUCUUUAGGUUCUCAAGCCACUUAAAAAAAUGACUCAUUGUGGUUUGUGGGUGGAGCUUAUACAAGAAUGUGAUGUUCUACUGGGCGCAGUGGCUCAUGCCCGUAAUCCCAACACAUUGGGAGGCUGAGGUGGGAAGAUUGCUUGAGCCCAGGAGCUCGAGACCAGCCUGGGCAACACAGUGAGACUCCCACCUCUACAAAAACAACAAUAAUUUUCUAGGCAUGGUGGCAUGCACCUGUGGUCCCAGCUACUCAGGAGGCUGAGGUGGGAGGAUCUCUUGAGUCCAGGAGAUUGAGGCUGUAGUGAGCCGUGUUCACACCACUGCACUUCAGUCCAAGUGACAAAGUGAGACCCUGUCUCAAAAACAAGAAUGUAAUGUCGUGUGCUAACUAGGAGACCAAUACUGAAAGAAAGGGUCUUGGUCCUACGUACAAGAGAUGUCUGUUUAAAUGUUCUUGGUUAAAAUAAGAUGUUUAAAGUGUUAAGAUGGCCGUUAGUGCUAUUUGCCAUAUAUUUCUAGCUCCACACUUGGCCAGCAUUUGACCCCAUUUAGCUUGAGUGCGGCCAUGUGAUUAAUUUUGGCCAGUAAGGUGUGAGGCCAUGUGAUUACAUCUGGCCAAUGAGAUAUGAGCAGAAGUGACACAUGUGAAUUCAGCAAGAGCACAUAAUUGCUAAUGGAAGACCAGACCCCUCUGCCUUUACUAUGUCCAUUGGCAACCUUCAUGAUCUGUCCGCACGGGCUCCAAGCUGACACUCAAUACAGCACGAGUGACAAAAUCCACCUUGGCUGUUUCAAGCCACUGCAAUCUGGGGGUAAUCUGGCCUUUCCUGAUAUACACAAUUUUUUUUUCCCAAAUAAUCCCAGUUUAACCAACAUUUGUUAAACCAAUCAACUACCAAGUCUGAGUUUCCUAGAAGAACAAACUGGCAGUACAUAUAGGUUGGAUGACAUAGGCUAGGACACAAUGACAACAUGGACAAAGUGUUUUAUACUGGCCGGGCACGGUGGCUCAUGCCUGUAAUCCUAGCACUUUGGGAGGCUGAGGCAGGUGGAUCACCUGUUGUCAGGAGACCAGCCUGGCCAACCUGGUGAAACCCCAUCUCUACUAAAAAUACAAAAAUUAGCCAGACGUGGUGGCAGGCGCCUGCAAUCCCAGCUACUCAGGAAUACAAAUACAGUCUCCUGAUUGAUCCUCCAAUUCAAGCAGGAGAAUUGCUUAAACCCGGGGAGGCGGAGGUUGCAGUGAGCUGCACUCCAAUCUGGGCGACAGAGCGACAUUCUGUCUCAAAAAAUGCUAAUAGGCUGGGUGCGGUGGCUCACACCUGUAAUCCCAGCACUUUGGGAGGCUGAGGCGGGCAAAUCAUGAGGUCAGGAGUUCAAGACCAGCCUGGCCAACAUGGUGAAACCAUGUCUGUACUAAAAAUACAAAAAAUUAGCUGGGCAUGGUAGUGGGUGCCUGUAAUCCCAGCUACUUGGGAAGCUGAGGCAGGAGAAUCACUUGAACCCAGGAGGCGGAGGUUGCAUUGAGCUGAGAUUGUGCCACUGCACUCCAGCCCAGGUAACAGUGUGAGACUCCGUCUCAAAACAAACAAAUAAAAAAGAUAAUAAAAUGCUUUAUGCUAAGAAAUGGGAGUAAGA